GGUCGUGUGGUCUAAAGGUUAUGACAUCUCGUUUACACUGAUACGUCUGCUCAUUUCAAUGUCCCGAGAAGGUUCCGUGUUCGAUCCACGGCGCGACUA
Jackrogersella minutella is the source of this 99-nucleotide non-coding RNA. The record is from the annotation of a GenBank genome assembly. Lineage: Eukaryota; Fungi; Ascomycota; Sordariomycetes; Xylariales; Hypoxylaceae.